Molecule: ribosomal RNA, 496 nt
Filed under: uncultured soil bacterium
Lineage: Bacteria
Description: bacterial SSU rRNA
Rfam family: Bacterial small subunit ribosomal RNA
Source: RNAcentral
AGAACGAACGCUGGCGGCGUGGAUAAGACAUGCAAGUCGAACGGGAUAUCUUUUGUAGCAAUACAGGGGAUGUUCAGUGGCGUAAGGGUGCGUAACACGUGGGCAAUCUGCCAAUUGAAGUGGGGGAUAGCUCGCCGAAAGGCGAAUUAAUACCGCAUGUGGUUAAGAGAGGAUUCUCUCUGACACCAAAGCCGGGGACCGUCGCAAGACGGCCUGGCGCUUCUUGAUGAGCCCGCGGCCUAUCAGCUUGUUGGUGAGGUCACGGCUCACCAAGGCGAUGACGGGUAGCUGGUCUGAGAGGACGACCAGCCACACUGGAACUGAGACACGGUCAGACACCUACGGGUGCAGCAGUCGAGAAUUUUCUCAAUGGGGGGCAACCCUGAAGGAGCGACGCCGCGUGGAGGAUGAAAGGUCUUCGGAUUGUAAACUCCUGUCAUUGGGAACAAGGUGCGAAGGUUAACUGCCUUCGUAUUGAUAGUACCUGAAGAGGAAA